This is a long non-coding RNA of Dreissena polymorpha, 1259 nucleotides long. RefSeq lists it as uncharacterized. Lineage: Eukaryota; Metazoa; Mollusca; Bivalvia; Myida; Dreissenidae. The record is from RefSeq and is a predicted model, not a curated record. The transcript is spliced from 3 exons.
GACACGUUUCAGUCCAGUUCAUGCUCUAAACAACAAGCAUGUGUUGACGAGGAAACCUCAAGCAUUUCAAUUGGCCACGAGUUGGAAGAUGCGCCAAACAGCCCGUGUGAGGCCAAAUCUGAACAGCCUUGUAAGAGAAGAAAGAUGUAAGUUCCAUACAAAUUAAAUAUUUAUGCCCCCCUUCGAAGAAGAGGGGGUAUAUUGUUUUGCUCAUUUCUGUCUGUCGGUCGGUCUGCUCACCAUAUGGUUUCUAGAUGAUAACUCAAGAACGCUUCGGCCUAGGAUUAUGAAACUUCAGCCUUUGUAACUUAUUAAGUUGUAUGAUAAUACAUUUUAAUACUAUAUCCAAAAAAAAUUGUGCAUACAUUUAAACCUAAAUUUCACAAUUCAUUUUCACAAAUGUUCAAUAUAAAAUAAUUUGUUGCUACAGAACAUUGUCUGAUGUGCAGCUAGCACAAUACACGUUCUUCAUUGAACAAACAGAAACAACCCGGUUAAAAAGAAAAUUGAUGGAACAACAAAUUCAGACACAAAAGGCUGCGGAGCAGUACUUCAUUGAAAGCAAAAAAAACCUUGCCCAAAAUGUAUUGGAGAAUUUUUUAGAACAGUAAGUCAAAUUAUUAUAUUAGUAUCUAAACUAUCUUUGAUUUAAAUAAAAACAUUAAUAUAAUGACCCCAUAAUACAUUUUACUUUGGAAGGGCUCAUGGGUUGAAGCAUAUUGACAUGUCUGUCUUUAUAUACAUCAUUUACACAAAUGUAUGCUAAACCAGUUUUAAAAAAAUCAUUAGUUUAUGCACAUCUCUUAAUGUUACAUUAAUGUUACAAUGUUACCAUUUUAGCAUCACUUUGCAUUACAAAUAAUUUGAAACAUGACAUGUAUUUUAUUUUCAGAUAGUGUUCCACUUCCUUUGUCCUUGGAGGCGAAGAAAAAUGUACUGUUAUGUUUAUUAGCUAAGUAUUAAAGGAAUAGACUUUAUUUCCACUUUGUGAUAAUAUGAAGGAAACAUGAAAACAUCACAAGCAUUGGAAACACUAUGUCCCCAUAUAUUUGACAUUUGACCUUGAAGGAUGACCUUGACCUAUCACCACUCAAAAUGUGCAGCUCCAUGAGAUACACAUGCAUGCAAAAUAUGAAGUUGCUAUCUUCAAUAUUGCAAAAGUUAUGGCAAAUGUUAAAGUUUGACGCAAACAAACACACAUACCAACAGACAGGGCAAAACUAAUAUGCCCCCACUAUAGUGGUGGGGGACAUAAAAAU